Triticum dicoccoides is the source of this 482-nucleotide long non-coding RNA. RefSeq lists it as uncharacterized. The record is from RefSeq and is a predicted model, not a curated record. NCBI's taxonomy places the organism in Eukaryota, Viridiplantae, Streptophyta, Magnoliopsida, Poales, Poaceae. The transcript is spliced from 5 exons.
UCCAUCAUCAUCAAAGAGCAUCCAGAGGUUUGCCAUCAAUCACAAAAUAGAAGUUACAUCCUCUGUCUACCCAAUGUUUACCAAGGUUUUCCUAUUCGCAGUCCAGGGAGCCAAAACACAAGUCCACUUGGGCAAUACUAUGCCUUCCCCUUGCCAAUCUGCAACUAUGGACACCGACAAAAACAUAAAUAGGUACUCUUCAGCGAAAAGAAGCAUCCAAUUUACAGAAGAUGGAGCCACCAACAAAGAGGGUCAACAACAGGAACAUCUUCAGGAUACACAAGUGCAUCUCCAGGUUGUCAAAAAGCAUAAGCAAGAAUAACAAUGUGAAAAUGAACAAAUGUGAAGGACAAGAGGAUAAUGGUAAUAAAAACACAUAGGGCACCGUCAAAUACCAUGCAAGGACCAGGAAAUCUUCAAGACGCACGAAAAGCACCUAUGGAUUGCACCAACUUCCAUUGAAAAUUACCUCCAAAACUAAC